CACUCCUACGGGAGGCAGCAGUGGGGAAUAUUGCACAAUGGGCGCAAGCCUGAUGCAGCCAUGCCGCGUGUAUGAAGAAGGCCUUCGGGUUGUAAAGUACUUUCAGCAGUGAGGAAGGUGGGUAUGUUAAUAGCAUACUCAUUUGACGUUAGCUGCAGAAGAAGCACCGGCUAACUCCGUGCCAGCAGCCGCGGUAAUACGGAGGGUGCGAGCGUUAAUCGGAAUUACUGGGCGUAAAGCGCAUGCAGGUGGUUUGUUAAGUCAGAUGUGAAAGCCCGGGGCUCAACCUCGGAAUUGCAUUUGAAACUGGCAAACUAGAGUACUGUAGAGGGGGUAGAAUUUCAGGUGUAGCGGUGAAAUGCGUAGAGAUCUGAAGGAAUACCGGUGGCGAAGGCGGCCCCCUGGACAGAUACUGACACUCAGAUGCGAAAGCGUGGGGAGCAAACAGGAUUAGAUACCCUGGUAA
RNAcentral lists this ribosomal RNA (466 nucleotides) under uncultured bacterium. RNAcentral describes it as "bacterial SSU rRNA". It matches the Rfam family "Bacterial small subunit ribosomal RNA", at positions 334 to 793 of the family's 1533-position model. The record is from RNAcentral.